AUCCCUGGUUUGUCUUAGUAAGCAUUGAAGGUUAUAUGGUAGUUCAAAUUGCCUUGAAGAUAUGCAUAGACUUGCUGGUAAGGUUUGUAUCCCUGGGUUGUCUUAGUAAGCAUUGAAGGUUAUAAGAUAGUUCACAUUGCCUUGAAGAUAUGCAUAGACUUGCUGGUAAGGUUUGUAUCCCUGGGUUGUCUUAGUAAGUAUUGAAGGUUAUAAGAUAGUUCACAUUGCCUUGAAGAUAUGCAUAGACUUGCUGGUAAGAUUUGCAACAGUCAUUCUUGUGGGAUUGAAAUCAUAAGUUCUUCAUAACAAAAAAAGAUGUUUGUUUGUUAUUAUGAGAGAAACAGAAAUGGCAGUUUUUGUGUUAGGAAAUUAAGCCUGGUCAGUAUUCAACAAAGUGAGAGACUGGUCAAGCAAAACAGACUCGUAGAUAGAACAAACAAGAUGAAAUAUAACUGAAAAUACUUGAAAAUAAUAAUAAUAAAAUAUAUAUGAAAUUCAAAAUCAUAUACUUCAAUGAGAUCCGUGUGGCAAAUAUAAUAAUUACAGUAAUAAUGUAAGAUAAUUUGAUCUCUAUGUGACUGUACAAAUAUUAUAUCACUAUUAACAAGGAGAGAUGUUAUAGGUAUUUACAGCCAAGUACAAAACACUGAAAUGAACCCUAAAUUACAGUUAUAAAUAAAUAAAUAAACAUUAAAUAUAUAUAUAUAAAAUGGCAGUGAAUAUUGAGUAGCACAUCCUGAUAUUAUACAAAACAUCCUCACAUGUUGAUAGGCCUAAUCCCUCUCUUAGUUAUACAAAGAAGACAUUUAGGUAUAGAUUUUGCUCUUAAUAAAUUCUCGGAUGCAUGAAUCUCACAUAUUAAUAGGCCUAAUCCCUCUCUUAGUUAUACAAAGAAGACAUUUAGGUAUAGAUUUUGCUCUUAAUAAAUUCUCAGAUGCAUGAAUCUCACAUAUUAAUAGGCCUAAUCCCUCUCUUAGUUAUACAAAGAAGACAUUUAGGUAUAGAUUUUGCUUUUAAUAAAUUCUCGGAUGCAUGAAUCUCACAUAUUAAUAAACCUAAUCCCUCUCUUAUUUAUACAAAGAAGACAUUUAGGUAUAGAUUUUGCUCUUAAUAAAUUCUCGGAUGCAUGAAUCUCACAUAUUAAUAAACCUAAUCCCUCUCUUAGUUAUACAAAGAAGACAUUUAAGUAUAGAUUUUGCUCUUAAUAAAUUCUCGGAUGCAUGAAUCUCACAUGUUGAUAGGCCUAAUCCCUCUCUUAGUUAUACAAAGAAGACAUUUAAGUAUAGAUUUUGCUUUUAAUAAAUUCUCGGAUGCAUGAAUCUCACAUGUUGAUAGGCCUAAUCCCUCUCUUAGUUAUACAAAGAAGACUUUAAGUAUAGAUUUUGCUCUUAAUAAAUUCUCGGAUGCAUGAAUCUCACAUAUU
This is a long non-coding RNA of Eriocheir sinensis (Chinese mitten crab), 1423 nucleotides long. RefSeq lists it as uncharacterized. Lineage: Eukaryota; Metazoa; Arthropoda; Malacostraca; Decapoda; Varunidae. The record is from RefSeq and is a predicted model, not a curated record. The transcript has 3 exons.